GACCGACAGUGUGAGGAAUACAAUACCGCAAGGGAAUAACUCCGCUGUUCAUACUACAGUUUUGAGCUGUCGGUCGCCCUAAU
This 83-nucleotide non-coding RNA is filed under the name [Haemophilus] ducreyi 35000HP. RNAcentral describes it as "Haemophilus ducreyi 35000HP sRNA-Xcc1". It matches the Rfam family "sRNA-Xcc1". Lineage: Bacteria; Pseudomonadati; Pseudomonadota; Gammaproteobacteria; Pasteurellales; Pasteurellaceae. The record is from Rfam by way of RNAcentral.